This 465-nucleotide ribosomal RNA is filed under the name uncultured organism. RNAcentral's name for it is "bacterial SSU rRNA". It matches the Rfam family "Bacterial small subunit ribosomal RNA", at positions 28 to 507 of the family's 1533-position model. The record is from RNAcentral.
GACGAACGCUGGCGGCGUGCUUAACACAUGCAAGUCGAGCGGUAAGGCUCCUUCGGGAGUACACGAGCGGCGAACGGGUGAGUAACACGUGAGUAACCUGCCCCAUUCAUCGGAAUAACCAGUGGAAACGCUGGCUAAUGCCGAAUACGACCACCGAAGGCAUCUUCUGGUGGUGGAAAGCUCCGGCGGAGUGGGAUGGACUCGCGGCCUAUCAGCUUGUUGGUGAGGUAAUGGCUCACCAAGGCGACGACGGGUAGCCGGCCUGAGAGGGUGACCGGCCACACUGGGACUGAGACACGGCCCAGACUCCUACGGGAGGCAGCAGUGGGGAAUAUUGGACAAUGGGCGAAAGCCUGAUCCAGCAACGCCGCGUGAGGGAUGACGGCCUUCGGGUUGUAAACCUCUUUCAGUAGGGACGAAGCGAAAGUGACGGUACCUACAGAAGAAGGACCGGCCAACUACGUG